Homo sapiens (human) is the source of this 2932-nucleotide RNA transcript. It is a transcript of the gene named tropomyosin 3 pseudogene 9, with no coding region annotated. NCBI's taxonomy places the organism in Eukaryota, Metazoa, Chordata, Mammalia, Primates, Hominidae. The record is from RefSeq and is marked validated. The transcript has 2 exons.
AGAUUCGUGCAGACCAGGAAGCGGAUAGCGUGGAGUGACGGUGCCACCGCGGCGCAGAGGAGUCUGCAAUGCCGAGUGGAGGAAGGAGGAACCGGAGUGUGAGCAGUAGCUGGGUGGGCAGCAUGGCUGGGAUCACCACCAUCGAGGCAGUGAAGCGCAAGAUCCAGGUUCUGCAGCACCAGGCAGAUGAUGCAGAGGAGUGAGCUGAGCACCUCCAGUGAGAAGCUGAGGGAAAAAGGUGGGCCUGGGAACAGGCAGAGGCUGAAGUGGCCUCCGUGAACGGUAGGAUCCAGCUGGUUGAAGAGGAGCUGGACUGUGCUCAGGAGCGCCUGGCCACUGCCCUGCAAAAGCUGGAAGAAGCGGGAAAAGCUGCUGAUGAGAGUGAGAGAGAUACAAAGGUUAUUGAAAUCUGGGCCUUAAAAGAUGAAGAAGAUGGAACUCCAGGAAAUCCAACUCAAAGAAGCUAAGCACAUUGCAGAUGAGGCAGAUGGGAAGUAUGAAGAGGUGGCUCGUAAGUUGGUGAUCAUUGAAGGAGACAUGGGAUGCACAGAGGAACGAGCUGAGCUGGCAGAGUCCCGUUGCUGAGAGAUGGAUGAGCAGAUCAGACUGAUGGACCAGAACCUGAAGUGUCUGAGUGCAGCUGAAGAAAAGUACUCUCAAAAAGAAGACAAAUGUGAGGAAGAGAUGAAGAUUCUUACUGAUAAUCUCAAGGAGGCAGAGACCCAUGCUGAGUUGGCUGAGAGAUCAGUAGCCAAGCUGGAAAAGACAAUUGAUGACUUGGAAGAUAAACUGAAAUGCACCAAAGAGGAACACCUCUGUACACAAAGGAUGCUGGACCAGACUUUGCUUGACCUGAAUGAGAUGUAGAAUGCCCCAGUCCCACCCUGCUGCUGCUCCUUCCUCUGACCCUGACUCUGCCUGAGGCCAGCCUGCCCGAAGCUGACCUUUACCUGAGGGCUGAUCUUUAACGGGAAGGCUGCUUUCUCCUUUUGCCACCCCCUCCUUCCCUGCCUCUUUUUCACCAAACUGUCUCUGCCUCUUCCUGGAGAUUCCAGCUGGGCUAGAGGCUGAGAACCUUUGCAAACAACAUUUAAGGGAAUGUGAGCCCAAUGCAUAAUGUCUUUAAAAAUCAUGUUGUGAAAAAAAAAAUACAUAAUCACUUCUGAAAGAUGCCUUUGUCACAUCCUAUAAUCAGCUCACAUCAUUUUUUUCUGUACAAGUAUAUUUUCCAGUUAUUUACCUGUUGACCCCAGAAUUUGUUAGAUUUUUAAAAAAACAAUUUCUAAAUAGUUUCUGUUUGAAACUAGUUGCGUCCAGUUCAGAUCAAGGUCUGCAUGCUUUCUAGUCUUUAUUAUUUAUUGGAAAACUUCGGUACCUAAUACAAAAGUUUGAUUGUUUCAGUGUGUACCUGGUAAAGAAUCAGUGACCUUUUACCUUAACAUCAAAAUGUAGUUUAACCAGUUAAUGUAUUUUUCAGUUUUCUUUCCUUAUGUCAUCUGUGAACAUCUUGAGCUGUGAGCUAUUAAGUGCAUGUUUCCCUCAAGGCCCUCUGGUCCAUUCUGGACUAAUGUUGAAAGAUGGGAUGGAUUGGCAUGGAACUGUUGGGGUGAUCAGACCCAACACCGGGCUGUGGGGGCUAAGAAGUCCAGUGGAGUCAAAGGAAUGAGAAAAGACAAGUUAAGAAUGCAUAAGGUGGGUCCAGGGGGCCAACGCUAGUAUGGAGGCUGCAAUAGACCUGAGCUCUGGAAGCCCACACUAUUAGUGAUCAAACAAAGCAGCAGGUGGUGAGGAUGUGGGGUUUGAAAGGAAGCAGUGCAUCAAGCACAUGAUCUAUAGGUGUGUCAGGUUAACAUUUAUAUGGAACAUGUUCUGCUACUUGAGAUCAUGGGGAACAUAUUCUUCUAGUUUAAGAUACAAUCAUUUUAUGAGUCUGGGAGUGCUAGAAGCAAAGAACCAUCAAGUCUAGGCACAUUCCAGAGGCCACGAGGGGUUUUAUGCCCUGAAACCUGGAUUCCAUCCAAGCCACAAGGGGUUUGUUGGGGAAAGAAAGAGAGAUCAGACUGUUACUGUGCCUAUGUGGAAAGAAGAAGACAUAAGAAACUCCAUUUUGUUCUGUACUAAGAAAAAUUCUUCUGCCUUGAGAUGCUGUUAAUCUGUAACCCUAGCCCCAACCCUGUGCUCACAGAAACGUACUGUGUUGAUUCAAGGUUUAAUGGAUUUAGGGCUGUGCAGGAUGUGCUUUGUUUAAAAUGUGUUUGCAGGCAGUAUGCUUGGUAAAAGUCAUCACCAUUCUCCAGUCUCAAAUACCAAGGGACACAAUGCACUGCAGAAGGCCACAGGGACCUCUGCCCCAGAAAGCCUGGGUAUUGUCCAAGGUUUCUGCCUGCUGAGACAGCCUGAGAUAUGGCCUCAUGGGAAGGGAAAGACCUGACUGUCCCCCAGCCCAACACCCGUAAAGAGUCUGUGCUGAGGAGGAUUAGUGAAAGAGGAAGACCUCUUUGCAGUUGAGAUAAGAGGAAGGCAUCUGUCUCCUGCUCGUCCUGGCAAUGGAACGUCUCGCUGUAAAACCUGAUUGUACAUUCUAUUUACUGAGAUAGGAGAAAACCGCCUUAUGGCUGGAGGUGAGACAUGCUGGCGGCAAUACUGCUCUUUACUGCACUGAGAUGUUUGUGUAAAGUCAAACAUAAACCUGGCCUACAUGCACAUUGAGGCACAGCACCUUUCCUUAAACUUAUUUAUGACACAGAGACCUUUGCUUACGUUUUCCUGCUGACCCUCUCCCCACCAUUAGCCUGUAGUCCUGCCACAUUCCCCUCACUGAGAUGGUAGAGAGAGUGAUCAAUAAAUACUGAGGGAACUCAGAGACCAGUGCCGAUGCGGGUCCUCCGUAUGCUGAGCGCCGGUCCUCUGGGCCCAGUGUUCUUUCUCUAUA